This is a small nucleolar RNA of Tripterygium wilfordii, 82 nucleotides long. RefSeq annotates it as small nucleolar RNA R160. The record is from RefSeq and is a predicted model, not a curated record. Lineage: Eukaryota; Viridiplantae; Streptophyta; Magnoliopsida; Celastrales; Celastraceae. The transcript has a single exon.
AGCAAGAUGAUGAAGUACUAUGAUCUGAAUGUUUCUGUUGAAUACCCAAAAUAGUAUUGGUCUUCAAAGUUCUCUGAUUGGU